AGGAGGCCUGAGAAAAUAAGGCAGUUCCAUGUACUGCAUUUAUUGGUUACAACCUCCAAAAUCAAAUUGUGCAAAAGCAAGUCAUGUUCCUUUGACUCAUAUAGGAAUACCAUUGCUACUUGCAUAUA
Molecule: small nucleolar RNA, 128 nt
Organism: Python bivittatus (Burmese python)
Lineage: Eukaryota; Metazoa; Chordata; Lepidosauria; Squamata; Pythonidae
Product: small nucleolar RNA SNORA47
Source: RefSeq, a predicted model, not a curated record